CAGCUGAGAGGCCUGUGAGAGGUUCUGGGGCGCCACCGCAGUCAUUCUGUUCAGCGGGUAUAGGACUUUCAUUCAUGGGACUGUCCUUGAUUCCCAGCCAUCACUGGGAGGCUCUACCUUCAAGUGUUAUCCAGAAUCAGACCACCUCACCUCAUUACUGCGGCCUCCCUGGGAUGGGCCUGGCCUCCUUCAGUCUGUUCUCACCACAAAGCCACCAGAAGGAUCCUUUUAUUUUUAUUGAUUGAUUGAUUGAUACGGCGUCUGACUCUGUCAGCAGGCUGGAGUGCAAUGGCACGAUCUCACCUCACUGCAACCUCUGCUUCUUGGACUCAAGCAAUCCUCCCACCGCUGCCUCCUGAGUAACUGGGACCACAGGUGCACACCACCACACCCAGUUAAUCUUUUUGUAUUUUUGGUAGAGAUGGAGUUUCACCAUUUUGCCCAGGAUGGUCUCAAACUCUUAAGCUCAAGCAAUCUACCCACCUCAGCUUCCCACAGUGCUGGGAUUACAGAUAUGGGCCACCACGCCCAGCGCCUUUUAAAAGCGCAGUUGGAUCAUAGCAUUUAUCUGCUCAUAACAAUGGCUUUUGCUUCCCCGCUCACUCAAAAG
This 610-nucleotide long non-coding RNA is filed under the name Pan troglodytes (chimpanzee). RNAcentral describes it as "long non-coding RNA NONPTRT009794". The record is from RNAcentral. Lineage: Eukaryota; Metazoa; Chordata; Mammalia; Primates; Hominidae.